RNAcentral lists this ribosomal RNA (252 nucleotides) under uncultured bacterium. RNAcentral's name for it is "partial 16S ribosomal RNA". It matches the Rfam family "Bacterial small subunit ribosomal RNA", at positions 525 to 776 of the family's 1533-position model. The record is from RNAcentral.
ACGGAGGGUGCAAGCGUUGUUCGGAAUUACUGGGCGUAAAGCGCGUGCAGGUGGUUUUUUAAGUUUCGUGUGAAAUCCCAUGGCUCAACCAUGGAACGGCACGGAAAACUGGAAGGCUUGAGUACGGGAGAAGAGGGCGGAAUUCCCAGUGUAGAGGUGAAAUUCGUAGAUAUUGGGAGGAACACCGGUGGCGAAAGCGGCUCUCUAGACCGAUACUGACGCUCAUACGCGAGAGCGUGGGUAGCAAACAGG